This 306-nucleotide long non-coding RNA is filed under the name Medicago truncatula (barrel medic). Its description in RNAcentral is "long non-coding RNA (MTRU_LNC004733)". Lineage: Eukaryota; Viridiplantae; Streptophyta; Magnoliopsida; Fabales; Fabaceae. The record is from RNAcentral.
CUCAAAAUCACCCCUCUCUGGUGGAUGAAGAUGAAGAAACUAGGGUUUUGGUGACGGACCUCAAGCAGAGAAGGGAAGAGAGAAACAAAUUGUUACUCAGUUAAUAUGUGUACAUGUUAGCAUUGAUUUUAUAUUAUUGACAAAUUUAAUUUAAAAAUAAUUUUUCUUAAUUUUGUGCAUGGACUAAGAGUUUUAAUUAAUGUAAGGACAAAAAUGUGUAUGACAGAUGAAAAUAAGUUCCUAGUUUUAAUUAAGAGUUUGAAAUAGCGAAUUUUUUGUCGGGUUCACUUCAUUUUGCAGUAGCUA